UGAAACACGGACCAAGGAGUCUAGCAUGUGCGCGAGUCAUUGGGACUCGUAGAACUAAACCCAGAGGCGCAAUGAAAGUGAAAGGUCGGACCUCGGUGUCCUUCCGCGAGGGAAGAUGCGCGGGCGGUCCUCGGCCGCCCCGCCGCAUUCCCGAGGCGUUUCGAGAAAGCCACCGUGCGACUAUCGAGACGCACUGAGAGCGCACACGCUGGGACCCGAAAGAUGGUGAACUAUGCCUGGUCAGGUCGAAGUCAG
This 255-nucleotide ribosomal RNA is filed under the name Beraea pullata. Its description in RNAcentral is "partial 28S large subunit ribosomal RNA". It matches the Rfam family "Eukaryotic large subunit ribosomal RNA", at positions 655 to 855 of the family's 3401-position model. The record is from RNAcentral. Lineage: Eukaryota; Metazoa; Arthropoda; Insecta; Trichoptera; Beraeidae.